RNAcentral lists this ribosomal RNA (500 nucleotides) under uncultured Glomeromycotina. Its description in RNAcentral is "partial small subunit ribosomal RNA". It matches the Rfam family "Eukaryotic small subunit ribosomal RNA", at positions 591 to 1092 of the family's 1831-position model. Lineage: Eukaryota; Fungi; Glomeromycota. The record is from RNAcentral.
CCAAUAGCGUAUAUUAAAGUUGUUGCAGUUAAAAAGCUCGUAGUUGAAUUUCGGGAUCAGUGCGUUGGUCGUGCCUUCGGUACGUACUGGUGUUACUGGUUUCUACCUUCUGAGGAACUGUCAUGUCAUUAAUUUGGUGUGGUGGGAAAUCAGGACUGUUACUUUGAAAAAAUUAGAGUGUUUAAAGCAGGCUCGCGCUUGAAUACAUUAGCAUGGAAUAAUGAAAUAGGACGUUCGAUCCUAUUUUGUUGGUUUCUAGGAUUGACGUAAUGAUUAAUAGGGAUAGUUGGGGGCAUUAGUAUUCAAUUGUCAGAGGUGAAAUUCUUGGAUUUAUUGAAGACUAACUACUGCGAAAGCAUUUGCCAAGGAUGUUUUCAUUAAUCAAGAACGAAAGUUAGGGGAUCGAAGACGAUCAGAUACCGUCGUAGUCUUAACCAUAAACUAUGCCGACUAGGGAUCGGAUGAUGUUAAUUUUUUAAUGACUCAUUCGGCGCCUUACG